Molecule: ribosomal RNA, 342 nt
Filed under: uncultured bacterium
Lineage: Bacteria
Description: bacterial SSU rRNA
Rfam family: Bacterial small subunit ribosomal RNA
Source: RNAcentral
AGAGUUUGAUCCUGGCUCAGAUUGAACGCUGGCGGCAUGCCUUACACAUGCAAGUCGAACGGCAGCACGGGGGGUAACCCCUGGUGGCGAGUGGCGAACGGGUGAGUAAUAUAUCGGAACGUGCCCUGUAGCGGGGGAUAACCUAUCGAAAGAUGGACUAAUACCGCAUACGCUCUACGGAGGAAAGCGGGGGUCGCAAGACCUCGCACUAUAGGAGCGGCCGAUAUCGGAUUAGCUAGUUGGCGGGGUAAAAGCCCACCAAGGCGACGAUCCGUAGCUGGUCUGAGAGGAUGAUCAGCCACACUGGAACUGAGACACGGUCCAGACUCCUACGGGAGGCAG